GAUGAACGCUAGCGGCAGGCCUAAUACAUGCAAGUCGAACGGCCCCGACACUUCGGUGUCGGGGUAGUGGCGCACGGGUGCGUAACGCGUACACAACAUACCCUUUACAGGGGGGAUAGCGGCGGGAAACUGCCAGUAAUACCCCAUGUCCUUGCGAGGUGGCAUCAUUUUGCAAAGAAAGUUCAAGCGGUAAAGGAUUGGUGUGCGCCCGAUUAGCUAGUUGGCGGGGUAACGGCCCACCAAGGGGACGAUGCGUAGCUGGUCUGAGAGGAUGAUCAGCCACACUGGGACUGAGACACGGCCCAGACUCCUACGGGAGGCAGCAGUGGGGAAUAUUGGACAAUGGGCGAAAGCCUGAUCCAGCAAUGCCGCGUGAGUGAUGAAGGCCUUAGGGUUGUAAAGCUCUUUUACCAGGGAUGAUAAUGACAGUACCUGGAGAAUAAGCUCCGGCUAACUCCGUG
Molecule: ribosomal RNA, 461 nt
Filed under: uncultured bacterium
Lineage: Bacteria
Description: bacterial SSU rRNA
Rfam family: Bacterial small subunit ribosomal RNA
Source: RNAcentral